UUUGUUGUUUGUGAAAGACUUUGUUAGUUAUUUCUUCAAGUUAUAUAACCAAAUUUAACACGACAGCUAUGUUGGCGAAAUUCAGAGAAAUAGUAAACCUUCUGCCGCACCUGUUUUCGGAGCCGAAAUCGAAGGGUUUCGAGUGAGAUUUUCGAAUCAGUCUCUUCACAAAACUCGUCGAGGACCGUGAUAAUUAUAUGUUGGACUGUUUGAUGAAGUGAAAGAACGUUAUCGUGGAAGUCAUAUUUGUUGUCGCUUAACAAUUUAUGAAGUGGAAUUUAUUAUGAAAUAAUUACAGUCAUCUUUCUUAUUAUUUGGAAUGAUUGAUUUAUUAUUGUAUUUAGUAUGAUAGAUUGAAAUUAUAAUA
Molecule: non-coding RNA, 367 nt
Organism: Erythranthe guttata (spotted monkey flower)
Lineage: Eukaryota; Viridiplantae; Streptophyta; Magnoliopsida; Lamiales; Phrymaceae
Source: RefSeq, a predicted model, not a curated record